Molecule: ribosomal RNA, 205 nt
Filed under: Clostridioides difficile
Lineage: Bacteria; Bacillati; Bacillota; Clostridia; Peptostreptococcales; Peptostreptococcaceae
Description: partial 23S ribosomal RNA
Rfam family: Bacterial large subunit ribosomal RNA
Source: RNAcentral
AUGAUGGGUAGGGGAGCUUCCCAUACGGGUUGAAGCAUGACCGUAAGGACAUGUGGACAGUAUGGGAGUGAGAAUGUUGGCAUGAGUAGCGAGAUGUGGGUGGGAAUCCCACAGGCCGUAAACCCAAGGUUUCCAGGGGAAGGUUCGUCCGCCCUGGGUUAGUCGGGACCUAAGCUGAGGCCGAAAGGCGUAGGUGAUGGACAAC